AGAUUACAGUGUCGAGGAGGUGGGUAUAAAACACAUCAAGAAGGACAAUCAAACAACAAUCUUAUAACAGCAUAACUGGAGCAGAGAGUCGAGUGUGGCCCUUUACGAGAGAGCAAGAGACAGAGACAGAGGUUACUCUGGGAGGCCAUACGCCUUGCCUCCUAGUAGAGAGAUUUGUUUUUGGAAAUUAAGAUGAAGACAUUUUGGUGCUUAGACUAUGCCUUUACAUUUUUCCUUUAAAUUACCUGACAUUUCUCCAAUGUUCACUCAUAUGAUUAAAAUAGUGAGAAUGAUUGCUGUGGUAUUUAUCUAAAUGAAAU
This is a non-coding RNA of Pelobates cultripes (western spadefoot toad), 320 nucleotides long. The record is from the annotation of a GenBank genome assembly. NCBI's taxonomy places the organism in Eukaryota, Metazoa, Chordata, Amphibia, Anura, Pelobatidae.